Molecule: long non-coding RNA, 804 nt
Organism: Ailuropoda melanoleuca (giant panda)
Lineage: Eukaryota; Metazoa; Chordata; Mammalia; Carnivora; Ursidae
Exons: 2
Source: RefSeq, a predicted model, not a curated record
UUGUAUCGUCUAAAGGCUUAGCCUCAACCAGAAAGCUGCAAGUCAGCAAGCAGCUGGGAGUAGUUUCACCUCCGGGCUUGGGGUGUUCACAGGAGCAUCAUUUUAUAAAAGUGGGAGAAAGAGGAGUACGUGCGGGCAGUGAUUCUUGAGGACAGGUUCUGAGGCAACCCGCAACAGAAUAUCCCCGCACUGUGGGGGGGAAGGAGGCACCAAGGAGAGGGCGCAGUCUCUGAAUCCUUCGACUUAGUCCCUUAGGGCCUCUAUAGCCACCCACAAGAACCGCCCUUUCUGCCCGCACCUCCUUGCCAGACUGUUGCUUGACUGAGCACUGCGGAGAAACUCCUCGAAACUCCGCCUCUCCUUGCAACCUGUGUUGGCCUAAACUGCCCGGCAACUGUUGACGUCACACACCGAGGCCCUCCCAGAAUGGAAGAGAUUUACUAGACAACCCCGCCCACUACGCUGAAAUUAGCCCGGCAGGUGUCACUUCUGAGCGGGGACUGUGAAGCCUUGAGGCUGCUGAAGGAGGAAGACACCAGACUCCUGAAAAAUUCACUGCAAAAGUUGGUGAGCCAUUUGGUGCGCUGAAAACACGAGAAACCACAGUACAAAACACCAGUUUUAUUAUAAGUACCAAGAAUCCAGAGUGUGUUUAUGGGCCAGCAUAUGACUUUAGUCAUAUUGGAAAGUAGCUCAUCUCCCCCUUUCUGUAUAUUCUAAAGUUCUUCUCAUUUCCAGGGUUCCACACCAAAACCCUGGCUCCGAACCCAGUUACACUAAAGAGUUCUAAACCCCGCUUUCUUC